CCACUGAAAAGUUAAAGAAAUUUUUGUGUCUUUUUCUUCACAGUAUAGAAUGGCCCGUGUCUUAUCUUCGUAUGGCAGUGCUUGGAUGUACUCUUGAGUACUGGAGAGAAUCAGAGGAAGUGAGUCUCAAGGAAAAAUAUUGAUUCCCCUUCAGCAAACUCUGCUGAAACGCACUGUUGUAGGCCUUGUUAUUUUUGAG
RNAcentral lists this long non-coding RNA (199 nucleotides) under Bos indicus x Bos taurus (hybrid cattle). Its description in RNAcentral is "lncRNA (ENSBIXG00005031080.1)". The record is from RNAcentral. Lineage: Eukaryota; Metazoa; Chordata; Mammalia; Artiodactyla; Bovidae.